GUGUUUAUGAAUUUUAAUUGAUGAAAAUACAUCAA
RNAcentral lists this small RNA (35 nucleotides) under Salix viminalis (osier). The record is from RNAcentral. Lineage: Eukaryota; Viridiplantae; Streptophyta; Magnoliopsida; Malpighiales; Salicaceae.